This 31-nucleotide non-coding RNA is filed under the name Mus musculus (house mouse). Lineage: Eukaryota; Metazoa; Chordata; Mammalia; Rodentia; Muridae. The record is from RNAcentral.
UAACUGCCUGAAUAUAUUCUUUGCAUCUUCC